CAGCCGCCGCGGGAAUACGAGGGGGGCAAGCGUUGUUCGGAAUUAUUGGGCGUAAAGGGUGCGUAGGCGGUUUGGCAAGUCUUAUGUGAAAUCUUCGGGCUCAACCCGAAGUCUGCAUGAGAAACUGCCGGGCUUGAGUAUGGGAGAGGUGAGUGGAAUUUCCGGUGUAGCGGUGAAAUUCGUAGAUAUUGGGAAGAACACCAGUGGCGAAGGCGGCUCACUGGACCGACACUGACGCUGAGGCGCGAAAGCGUGGGGAGCAAACAGGAUUAGAUACCCCCGUAGUCCCUGUCUCUUAUAC
This 301-nucleotide ribosomal RNA is filed under the name uncultured bacterium. Its description in RNAcentral is "partial 16S ribosomal RNA". It matches the Rfam family "Bacterial small subunit ribosomal RNA", at positions 509 to 807 of the family's 1533-position model. The record is from RNAcentral.